UCAAGGGUUUAUAUUAAAAAUAAUUUUAAUAAUUAAAUAUGUUUAAGUAUUUUAUAUAAAAAUAAUAAUAAAAUUUAUAAUAAAUUUGUAUAGGAAUAGAUUUUUGAAAUAAUUGAAAAUAAUUUAUUUUAAAAGAAAAUUUUAGUUAUUGUACCUUGUGUAUCAGGGUUUAUUAAAUAAAUUAUUUAUAAAAAAUAUUUCUCGAAUUUAAGAUAUCUAUAAGUUUAUACAGUUUAUUAUAAUAAAAAUAUUAUUUAUAAAUUUAUAGAAAUGAAACGUUAGUCGUUCUUAAAUAUAUCUAGUUUUUUAAGAAAUAAAUUUAAUUUAUAAGUUUUUUAUUAGAUUAAAUAAUUAAUUAUUUAAUUUAAUUUUUAAUUUAAAUUUUUAAAGGGAUAAGCUUUUAAAAAUAGUUAUAAAAAAUUAGUUUAAUUUUAUAAAUAUAAGCUUAGAAUUAGUUAUUAAUAUAAAUUAUGUAAUAGUUUAUUAUUUUAUUAAUAAUUGUUUAGUUAAUUUUUAUUUUUUAUUAAAAUAUUGAAUUUAAUUUUUUUUAUUCAAUUAAUAAUGAUAAAAUUAGUAUAAUAAAAUUAAUUAUUUAAACUUAAUUUUGUAAUUAAAAAUUUUGUUUAAGAAUUCGGCAAAUUUAAUUUUCACCUGUUUAUCAAAAACAUGUCUUUUUGUAUUGUAUCUAAAGUCUAACCUGCCCAUUGAAUUUUUAAAAGGCUGCGGUAUUUUGACCGUACAAAGGUAGCAUAAUCAUUAGUUUUUUAAUUGAAAACUUGUAUGAAUGGUUGAAUGAGAAAUUAACUUUUUUAAUAUAAAAAUUGAAUUUUACUUUUUAGUUAAAAGGCUAAAAUUUAUUUAAAAGACGAGAAGACCCUAUAGAGUUUUAUAAUUAAGGUUAUAUUUUUUAAUAAGUUUAUUUAACAAUAUAUAAAUUAAAUUAUUUUAUUGGGGUGAUAGUAAAAUUUAAUAAACUUUUAUUAAUUAUUUAACAUUAAUAUAUGAUUAAUUGAUCCAAUAAUAUUGAUUAAAAAUUUAAAUUACCUUAGGGAUAACAGCGUAAUUUUUUUUUAAGUUCUUAUUAAUAAAAGAUUUUGCGACCUCGAUGUUGGAUUAAGAUUAAAUUUUAGGUGCAGCAGCUUAAAUUUUAAGUCUGUUCGACUUUUAAAUUCUUACAUGAUCUGAGUUCAAACCGGUGUGAGCCAGGUUGGUUUCUAUCUUUAAAAUUUUUAAAUGUUUUAGUACGAAAGGAUUAAAUAUUUUAUAUAAUAUAACUACUAAGAAUAGC
RNAcentral lists this ribosomal RNA (1288 nucleotides) under Phytosciara flavipes. RNAcentral describes it as "large subunit ribosomal RNA". The stretch from base 1051 to 1209 matches the Rfam family "Archaeal large subunit ribosomal RNA", at positions 2544 to 2703 of the family's 2987-position model. The record is from RNAcentral. Lineage: Eukaryota; Metazoa; Arthropoda; Insecta; Diptera; Sciaridae.